RNAcentral lists this long non-coding RNA (10039 nucleotides) under Triticum aestivum (bread wheat). RNAcentral describes it as "long non-coding RNA (TAES_LNC023690)". Lineage: Eukaryota; Viridiplantae; Streptophyta; Magnoliopsida; Poales; Poaceae. The record is from RNAcentral.
GCCUUAUCCACUCAGGGACCCGUUGGUGAUGAAAAUAUUCACAGAUUGGUCCCUGAUCUUCUUCACCUUGUAACUUCUCAACCGUAACUCCGUUUAAGGUGAAACCAACGCUCACUUCUUCGUUUCGUCGAGACCUUUCUGUUGAUGUCACUUUCAUUAAGUUUUGACAUUCUUAAAAUGACUAUUUUGCCCUUGCACGUAAACAACCCCUCCGAGAGAGAACUGUUUCCGGCAAAUCUUUUCGCGGCUUCACCGCACUUCUCCCCGGUGCCUUCUUCACCCCCAGGCAAGCCACAAUACCCACUUGCAUGAUAGUCAUGUAGUAGCCAUGGUUUUCAACUUGAAUCUUUAUUAAAUGUUUGCUUGUUUAAAAUAUGGUUACCGUUGUUUCGGUAAUGCUUCUGGACUAGUGCUUACUUUCUUGCUAUGUUGUUAUGCACCUGGUUGUCAUGCCCAUGCUAGUUGCUAGUAUUCCUUUCAUAUUGCCAUGCUUGAUAGUAGUACAUGCUGAUGAUGGUGAUGGUCUUCGGUGCACGACUGUCGUCUGUCCCGAGUACCGUCGUUAUGCAUGUCCCUUUACAUCCAGUUGGUUAAAUGCUUGCAUGAUGGCAUUGUUGAUAUGUUCUUGCAUGAUAUUUAUGGUUGAUGCUAGUGGUCAUGCUAUGUUUCGGAGAAGUAUGUACUUAUGAUGUUCAUGCUCUUCAUUAUGCCAUGUUCAGUUGGAUAUGAUUCAUAGUUGAUAUGGUGGAUAGUUAUGUGGUACCCUCAUGAUUAUGUUGAUAUCCUGUUCAUGCAUUUUAUCAUGGCUCAUCAUAUUUGCAUUCAAGUUAACCGGAUUAAAUUGAACUUUAACAACUGUUGGCUGAGUCAUGGUGCCGCUGAAUCGAUGCUGACCAGUGCAACCACGCUUACCGGUAUGGGACGGUCCUAACUGGGUCUAUUGUUGUGCCUCUCGUCGGUGCCUCCAACGAGGGAAGGUUAUGGGCGCGCGCUACCCUGAUCAGGUAGGCGGACAUAACCUUGUGUGCCCGUUGUUGAGUUUUUUUUGGAUCCAUGUCCCCGUGUGGGACGGGCCACGACGGUGGUCGUUGGUGUCUUUGGUAGACACGGGGCCACCCAUGACUUAGCCCAGAGGGGAGUGAGUUGGAGUGGCCGGGAGAGUGUCAUGGCAGUAGGACGGUUUUGUCGGAACGCCGUUGGUCCACCCGAAUGGGAGUACGAGGCCAUGGGUUCCGUAGUGUGGGUACAGUGUACUAACCUCUGCAGAGUGUAUAUUAAAUCUAUCGAUAGCCGCGCCCACGGAUAAGGGCCCAGGUCGAAAGUAGGUCACACCAUGAGUCAACAGUAAUAAGAAUAACUUGAUUAAUGACAACCCGUGGUUGUGAUCGCCGUAAGGAUCACGGUUUGAGACCAAGUGUUGGUCGUGGUUGUGAUCGUCGUAAGGAUCACCGUGGUAUCGAGGAUACCGAGUUGUUGGAUAUUCGUGAUGUUGUGCGAGAGUCAUGGGUAAAGAUCAAGCUCCUUGUGGUCAUUUACUGAUCGCUAUGGUAUUGUUUAUACCAAGCUUGACUUGAUCCUGAGAUGAUCAUGUGAUGUCCGAGGAUGGUAAGUGAUGCAUGUGACGGUUACCAAGAAACCCGAGCAGAAUAAGUGGUGCAUAUAGUGUCAUCAUGUUGCAUGCUAGUAUUGUGAGAUUAAUAUGUUCAUGUUGUGUUAGCUGUAUCAUGUUGUUCAUGCUAUAUUGUUCUGAUGAUAUCAUGAUAAUCCCUGCUUAACCUGUAAUUGCCAUGCUGUUGUUUGUCUUGAAUGCUUCUGGAUUAUUGUGAGCUUGCAAGUACAUUCAAUGUACUGACCUGGCGUGUCAUGCCAGUUUGCAGGUCAUGCCGGAUUUGAUUGCGUGCUUGUCGUGGUUUCCGUUCGUGCGAGCUAGGAUAAGCGUUCCAGCCAGAGUCCCUGCGGAGUGGAGUUCACCACCGUCUUCGUUGUUCCGCUGCUAGAGUUAUUCCGCUGCUUCGAGUUGUUCUGCUGCUUGCAUAGAGCAACUGAGGAUGGCGUAGUUUCGCCGUACCGAUGUUAUUCAUUGUAAUAUCGGAGACCUUGUAUUCAUACUCGUGUAAUAAUAGAAAGCUGGUUUGUUCUAUGCUAAGCAGUGCCGGAUUCUAGAAGACUUCUCCUCGAUCUCUGGGCUGGAAUACGGGGCGUUCCGGUUUCUCUGAGCCGGGGUGCCACAGCGCUUGGUAUCAGAGCAGGUCUAGCUAUAGGACGCCCUAGACCGCGCGAACGUUAGGAAGCGGUAGUAUAGACCCUAGUUUGUUUGUUGCACUUGGUUGCUGCAUUUGUCUGUCGCAUAGCAUGCAUAUAGAUCAUUAUUUAUUCGCUAACGGUUUAUCUGGUGAGUGUAGCUGGCAUCGGUUCGGAUCCACUACAGCUCAACCUUUGCAUUUCUCUAGUUCCUUUUUCUUUCGGUGUUUGGUGUCAUUUCUGUCCCAGCAGAGUGAUGCCAAGUGAUCCCGACACUAUUUGCAAAAAUGGUGCUCAGGUAUCGCACCGAUGUCUUUCCUUCAGUCCCGCCUAUCGUUUCGGUGAUGGACAUGCUUUUAUCCCGGAUCGUUCUUUUAUUUUGUCGUGUUGGCAACCCUUAAUGAUCUUAGUUAUCAAGGAAGGGCAAUGUCAGCAGCCUCAGUUUUCCCCGCAAUCCUAUUUCUUGGACGAGUACGGAUCUUUUUACGUCCGCUUGAUAAUGAUGUGGUUGCGACCUUCGUGUCCUACUGCAUGAUUACCGAGUACGUCCUUACCUCUGAGCUAGUUCAGGUUGCCACUUGGUGUAGCGCUGCUUACACCAAUUCUUCCACACAUUUAUUCGUCCUCGUGCUCAUCGGCACAGCAUGCUAGAUCGUAGUACCGGAGAUUCCGCGAAAUUUGUGUGCUUAAGUAGGCAUGCAUAUUGUGUGAGUAGCAGUAAUAUGUGGUGAUUGCUUGAUUAAUUAUAUUAGUAGAAUGCUUGUGUGCUUUUGUUUUAGUCGUUUCUGUUGUUCCUUUCUUUGGGCCUUCGGUGAUACAAAAUUUUCCCCUAUUAAAGUUGCUCGUCAGCCGACACCGGACCCGAAGAGUCAGCAAGAAAUGCAUACAUUUGGAAACUCAGCUAAACAGAAUGGAAUUAUCAGCUGACUGCAGUGAAAUUGGGAAUAUCUUGUCUGGAUGCAAAAGAAAUCCUGGAUGGACCAUCAGUAUCAAGUUUGCGUUAGCGUCCACUCAUCACAACAAAAUGAUUAAAUCAGCAAGAAGAUAAAUUGUGUGCAAGGUUGGCAGAAGAGUAUCAAAGGAAUGGCUCAGAUGCAAGUUUAAUUUUUCGUUGAGGAUGAUUUUUGGAACCCGAUGUACCUGGAAGCAAGCAAAAAUAUGGCAUAUACUCAGAAAGGAGGAUAGCAUUGCAAAACCCCGUUUCAUACAAGAUAUCAAUAACAAAAAAAUUAAGAUGGUUAUAAAUGUGGAAAUCGGUCCGCAUAUCACAAUGAGAAGCUUCUGGUGUAAGCAACACAAUCUUCCCUCGCAACAUACCAGAGAAGCUUCCAAGGCAAGAUUCAUCUAUCUUCCUCAGUACGAUACAAGGAUGAUUUCCCGUGCAAGGUACUCUGCCUUCUUCAGUAAGCAACCGCAAAAUCUUCCGGCAUAAGGUACUGAGUCUUUCCCCAACAAAGUCUUUAAGGGGGUAAGCUUCUGAAGCACGAUACCCGGUCUUCUUCAGCAAGCUGUCCAAUGAAAUUUUCGAGCACAAGCCAACCAAUCUUCCUCAGUAAGACAUUGGUACAAGGUAGUACGCUGCAAAUUGAUAGCAUAUGGUAGUGAAUCCCAAGAAUCAGAUCCGCAACAUUUUGGUCAGAAGCAAGAAUCAGUCAGAAUACACGUCUCGGAAAUCAGAUUCUCAUAUAUAUGCGGUGAGCAUACCACCAAGAUCUUACAAGUCACUCGGAUGAGGAUCUGACAACCACGUGAGGAUGAUUAAGAGAACAAACCUAGUAUACACCAUAGUGUGACAAAGGAUUAUGAGGAUUGACGACAUCAAUGAGCUCAGUACAAGUACCUGCGAACCUGGAAAAUGAUCCUGAUGAGCCCUUGUCCCCUUUUUCUCCAAUGACGGCACCACGCCUGUGAUCUGAGCUGUUUCCAGCUAUCCGGGGUGGAUGCCGAUUUUUGUUUCUCUCUUCAACGACUGUCACGAGUUCUGAGAUGCUUUUCGGCCGUCUGGUACAACUGUUGAGUUUCUUUUUGUGACAGUAGCCCUAUAGCUGUUUUUGGCUAUUUUAGGGAGCUGCCACCUUCUUCUUAUCGACCCGGUCUCAUGCUCUGAGCUGCUUUUUGAGCCGUGGUUGAGUUAUUUCAGUAAUGUCCCAGAUCUGAGUUGUAAAGACCAUUCUGGUGGCUACUGAUUUAUUUGUUGAUUUCUUGAAAGGGUUCGGAUGAUCAUUUCCCAACGAUCAGAACUUGAGAGGUGUUGAACCUGCCAUUUAAUGAGGUACCCUGUCAGAAAAAUGAGGAUAAGCUGCGAUUGCCGAAAAAUUGCACCGACAGUACCUAUGAAGAAGCAAUAUGGCCCAGCUCUUUCAGCCCAGGAUCCAGACCAAGAAAACAAUAAUGAAGGAGCAAGACCAGUGAUGCAGGUAUGAAUUUUUUUGCAUAACCCCCAUGGUGCAGAUCCCCCGGACAGUCUAAGUCAGUAUUGAUCCACAUGGAUAUGCCUACAACAUGAGUAAUCGGCAUGAGGAAUAACAGUGUGGAAGCCUGAGUCCUCACUUAUAUGAAUCAUCAUGGAUAGCCUGUCGUGAACAAAAUUUUCUGUCAGAAACACCGUCAGUCAAGUCUGCAGAUAUUAUCAUACAGGCCAAACCCUUUAUGCUGGCCGCGACAGGAGACAAUCAAAUAUUUGGUACGGAUCCGAUACUCACGACAGUGGAACCAGUUAAGAUGAUUCAGAAACUUCUGCGAUGAGUCAGAAUCUGUCAGGAAACGGUUAUGUUUUAACUCACUGUUUGGAACCCAAAGGACCCGCAUUUAGUGGAGAAACCCAAUGCAAUGAGUCAGAGCUUGAGUUUGCAUCAGAAAAUUAUGAUCAUCAUUACAUGAAAGGUUGUCAGUGCCGGGUGGCACACCCAGCGGAAAUCACUUUUGGAUUUGUGAGACGGACAUAUAUUUCAGUCGUGAUAAUUAAAUCACACUCAACUAGUCAACAGAUCUAAAAAAGAAAUUGGAGCCCAUAUAAGCACGAGCAAGCCAAGUAAGAUCUGUCAGAAUGUGGAUACAGUAAAGCAAACCACCCAGGGCCAGUCAGAUAAAAAUUUAGUGGGAACAACAAUAAAGGAAAAAGGAUACCCGAGUUGGAAACGGUUUUCUUAAGUCAGAAUAUUCAUACUUGUUCCCUAAGCAACCAAAUCUCGAGGACGAGAUUUCUUUAAGGGGGUAAGGUUUGUGACAGCCUGAUUUUUGGCCCUUUCUUUUUCUUUUGUUUUUCCGAGGUUUUUGCCUGAGUUUUUCUUUUUCGUGGCUUUGUGGUCUGGAAACUGAAGAAGAUGCCCUCUUCUUUGCUUCCAGAGUGGCUUGUCAUUCCCAAAUCUUUCCCUGGACCCUGUCAUUUUCAUCCUAGCCCAAAUCCCAAUAUUAUUUUUAUUGGGAAUAUUCCUUUUCUAUUAAAGGAAUAACUCAAAUUGCCCUAGGUUGUGAAGCAACCUAUAUUUCCAUCACUCCUAAAUAUCCAAAUAAUUCUCAUAAAUUGUUUGGGUCAUAUCUUGCUCAAAUACAGCAAAACUUUACAUUUCCAUGUUCAAAAAUAAUCCUCCAAUAAUUCAUUUCCUAUUCUGCCCCAAAUGGCACAUUGUGAAGCAAGUGCCAUUUUCCUUUUCCCAAUUGACCUCAAACUCCUUGGAAAUAUUUUCGUGUCCAUAUAAUUGCCACAUGACAAAAUGCAACCCCAUUUGCCUAGUAAUUAUUUAAUUAUGAUUUUCCAAAGUUUCUGUCCAGAAAGAAGCUUUGUGAAGGAGGUACAAGCUAGGCAUAUCCAAAUGAGUUUCCAUUUUGCAGGAUCCUUCAUAUCAUCAUAUCAUAGCCCUCCACCAAAGUAGAGCUCAUGUAAUGCCUCCAUGUGAUCUCAGCUUAAAUUCUUAUUUUCUGGUCAAACUUUCAGUUUGUGAAGCAAGUAUAUUUUAUCUUGCUCCAUUACGGCUGUAAAUGUUUCUAGGCCUUCUAUCAUCCAUAUAAAUUCCCUCAACCAAGUUGUGGCUCAAUCCCUUUGACCAUUUGCCCUGUGGAAUUUUUCCAAGUUUCUGGUCAGAAUAAAUCUUUCUAAAGCAAGUGUUGUUUUGGUUCAUCCAAAUGGCAUGAAAAUCCUUGGGCAUCUUAAUAUCUUCAAAUAAUUGGUCCAUAACCAAUUUCAUCUCCAUUGAUGCAACUAUGUGAGUGCAUCAUCCAAAUUCCCAUUUCUGGCCAUUAUGGCACUUUAUACAGCAACCACCCUCUAAACUCCUUCUCUUAAGCUGAUUUCUUGUAAUCGUAGUAACCUUAGUGUAUGAUCAUCACCAGACAAAGUAUUUAUUGACUUACCAAGCUGGUGUCCCCACUGCACAGCACAAACACUUGGCUGCUGGUUUGCUUUGGGAUCUUCUACAAAUCACUUCCUUGCCCCUGGAACGAUUUAUUUACUCAGUUAUACUAAGGUCACUAGGGUCAAUCCACUAGACAUGGUUGGUCCGGCCAAAGCGAUAAAUUUGCAACAGUGCGCGUGGUGAUCAUGCUUGCGUCAUGGCUGCAGGCGAGCUCUGGCUUGUUCUUGCCACUGUUCUCGUCUCCUCCCUCGUCGUCUCGACUUCCAUCCAUGUCUAGUAGCUGCCCCGUGAGCCGCUGCAUCACCCUGCGUCGAUGGUUCGUCUCCUUUCGCCAUGAAUGAGCCGCUAGAUCCAUGCCCGUGCCAUGCCCAGCCACUGCCCUCCAUUAAUGCUUGGUCGGGAGCUCGCCCGUGAGAUCCAGAAGCCUCCCCUCAGCCUAUAUAAGGACCCCUAGACUCUCCCGCAGCUCCCAAGCCCCUCCUCGUCCCUCCUAGCCCACCGGAGCAACGGCAUCUCGCCGAAGUUCGCCUCUGUUCGCCUCGGCCGCCGCGGUUCCUCCUUGGUUCCGGCGAGCUCGAGCAUCCUCUCCUCCUCUGGUGUUUUCCACCGCCUUCCUCACGUCCCGGCGAACCUCCCUACCCACUUGCCCCCUCGCCGGAGCCCCUGUUUCGCCGAAUACCUCCACCGCCCGAGCUCUCUGUAGCCUCCUCGGUCGCCGCGUCCCACCGCCUCUCCACCACUCUCCGGCGCCUCCUUUGCCUCUGAAUGGGUGCGGUGCUCCGCCCCGAAGCCGCCGGUGCCCGCGCCUUGGUUUGAGGUGGCCGGAGCAGCCCGUUCCAUCGCCGGCGCCCGCCCUGCUCCUCUCUGUUCUCCUCCCGUCGCCACUUCCCCAAGGCAUCCCCGCCGUCCCUGCUGCCUCUCUCCGCUGCGGCCGGCCGAUCCGCGACCGCCGGUGGCCUCCGCUUGGCCGGACUUGGCCGGAGCCGCCUGGGCCCCUCGCCGCGCCCACCUCCCCUGCUUCGCUCCACUGUCUCCGAUCGGGGAGGCAGGAGGAGGAAGACGACGACCUGACUCGGCCCCCCUGGCCGCUGGCCCCACGUGCCAGCCACACACCCGGGCCCAGGUACGUUAAGUGGAGACGUAUUUCGGGGAGUGCGCUUUCAGAUCCUGAAAGCGUAUUUACAGUUCGGUUCUGCUCAAAGUAUGUUUCUUGUUCAUAAAGUGUAUUCUAUUUCUACUUCGGCCUGAAGUAUGUUUUCUAAGUCAGAAGGAGUAUUUUCUGAAAUCCGUUUUGCCUUAUCCACUCAGGGACCCGUUGGUGAUGAAAAUAUUCACAGAUUGGUCCCUGAUCUUCUUCACCUUGUAACUUCUCAACCGUAACUCCGUUUAAGGUGAAACCAACGCUCACUUCUUCGUUUCGUCGAGACCUUUCUGUUGGUGUCACUUUCAUUAAGUUUUGACAUUCUGAAAAUGACUAUUUUUCCCUUGCACGUAAACAGCCCCUCCGAGAGAGAACUGUUUCCGACAAAUCUUUUCGCGGCUUCACCGCACUUCUCCCCGGUGCCUUCUUCACCCCCAGGCAAGCCACAAUACCCACUUGCAUGAUAGUCAUGUAUUAGCCAUGGUUUUCAACUUGAAUCUUUAUUAAAUGUUUGCUUGUUUAAAAUAUGGUUACCGUUGUUUCGGUAAUGCUUCUGGACUAGUGCUUACUUUCUUGCUAUGUUGUUAUGCACCUGGUUGUCAUGCCCAUGCUAGUUGCUAGUAUUCCUUUCAUAUUGCCAUGCUUGAUAGUAGUACAUGCUGAUGAUGGUGAUGGUCUUCGGUGCAUGACUGUCGUCUGUCCCGAGUACCGUCGUUAUGCAUGUCCCUUUACAUCCAGUUGGUUAAAUGCUUGCAUGAUGGCAUUGUUGAUAUGUUCUUGCAUGAUAUUUAUGGUUGAUGCUAGUGGUCAUGCUAUGUUUCGGAGAAGUAUGUACUUAUGAUGUUCAUGCUCUUCAUUAUGCCAUGUUCAGUUGGAUAUGAUUCAUAGUUGAUAUGGUGGAUAGUUAUGUGGUACCCUCAUAAUUAUGUUGAUAUCAUGUUCAUGCAUUUUAUCAUGGCUCAGCAUAUUUGCAUUCAAGUUAACCGGAAUAAAUUGAACUUGAACAACUGUCGGCUGAGUCAUGGUGCCGCUAAAUCGAUGCUGACCAGUGCAACCACGCUUAUCGGUAUGGGACGGUCCUAACUGGGUCUAUUGUUGUGCCUCUCGCCGGUGCCUCCAACGACGGAAGGUUAUGUGUGCGCGCUACCCUGAUCAGGUAGGCGGACAUAACCUUGUGUGCCUGUUGUUGAGUUUUUUUGGAUCUGUGUCCCCGUGUGGGACGGGCCACGACGGUGGUCGUUGGUGUCUUUGGUAGACACGGGGCCACCCAUGACUUAGCCCAGAGGGGAGUGAGUCGGAGUGGCCGGGAGAGUGUCAUGGCAGUAGGACGGUUUUGUCGGAACGCCGUUGGUCCACCCGAAUGGGAGUACGAGGCCAUGGGUUCCGUAGUGUGGGUACAGUGUACUAACCUCUGCAGAGUGUAUAUUAAAUCUAUCGAUAGCCGCGCCCACGGAUAAGGGCCCAGGUCGAAAGUAGGUCACACCAUGAGUCAACAGUAAUAAGAAUAACUUGAUUAAUGACAACCCGUGGUUGUGAUCGCCGUAAGGAUCACGGUUUGAGACCAAGUGUUGGUCGUGGUUGUGAUCGUCGUAAGGAUCACCGUGGUAUCGAGGAUACCGAGUUGUUGGAUAUUCGUGAUGUUGUGCGAGAGUCAUGGGUAAAGAUCAAGCUCCUUGUGGUCAUUUACUGAUCGCUAUGGUAUUGUUUAUACCAAGCUUGACUUGAUCCUGAGAUGAUCAUGUGAUGUCCGAGGAUGGUAAGUGAUGCAUGUGACGGUUACCAAGAAACCCGAGCAGAAUAAGUGGUGCAUAUAGUGUCAUCAUGUUGCAUGCUAGUAUUGUGAGAUUAAUAUGUUCAUGUUGUGUUAGCUGUAUCAUGUUGUUCAUGCUAUAUUGUUCUGAUGAUAUCAUGAUAAUCCCUGCUUAACCUGUAAUUGCCAUGCUGUUGUUUGUCUUGAAUGCUUCUGGAUUAUUGUGAGCUUGCAAGUACAUUCAAUGUACUGACCUGGCGUGUCAUGCCAGUUUGCAGGUCAUGCCGGAUUUGAUUGCGUGCUUGUCGUGGUUUCCGUUCGUGCGAGCUAGGAUAAGCGUUCCAGCCAGAGUCCCUGCGGAGUGGAGUUCACCACCGUCUUCGUUGUUCCGCUGCUAGAGUUAUUCCGCUGCUUCGAGUUGUUCUGCUGCUUGCAUAGAGCAACUGAGGCAUAGUGUCGUCGUACCGAUGUUAUUCAUUGUAAUAUCGGAGACCUUGUAUUCAUACUCGUGUAAUAAUAGAAAGCUGGUUUGUUCUAUGCUAAGCAGUGCCGGAU